This 468-nucleotide ribosomal RNA is filed under the name uncultured bacterium. RNAcentral describes it as "partial 16S ribosomal RNA". It matches the Rfam family "Bacterial small subunit ribosomal RNA", at positions 28 to 507 of the family's 1533-position model. The record is from RNAcentral.
GACGAACGCUGGCGGCGUGCUUAACACAUGCAAGUCGAACGGACAGGCCCUGCUUUUGUUGGUUUCUCGUUUGGCGAACGGGUGAGUAACACGUGAGUAACCUCCCCUUAACUUUGUGAUAACUUCACGAAACUCGGGCUCUUAUCCGAUAUGAUCUCCUGCUCCAUGGUGUGGGUUGGAAAGUUUCGGCGGUUGGGGAUGGACUCGCUGCUUCUCCGCUUGUUUGUGUGGUAGUUGCUUACCAAGGCUUUGACGGGUAGCCUGCCUGAGAGGGUGACCGGCCACAUUGGGACUGAGAGACGGCCCAGAAGCGUACGGGAGGCAGCAGUGGGGAAUAUUGCACAAUGGGCGGGAGUCAGAUGCAGCAACGUCGGGUGCGGGAUGACGGGUUACGGGUUAUAAACAGAUGUCGAAGGUGACGAAGAGUGAGUGACGGUAAUGGGUAAAGAAGCAACGGCUAACUACGUG